AAGACCUUGCGCUUUUGGAGCGGCCGAUGCCUGAUUAGCUUGUUGGUAAGGUAAAAGCUUACCAAGGCUUCGAUCAGUAGCUGGUCUGAGAGGACGGCCAGCCACACUGGGACUGAGACACGGCCCAGACUCCUACGGGAGGCAGCAGUGGGGAAUUUUGGACAAUGGGGGCAACCCUGAUCCAGCCAUGCCGCGUGAGUGAAGAAGGCCUUCGGGUUGUAAAGCUCUUUCAGCCGGAACGAAACGGUUACGGUUAAUACCCGUGACUACUGACGGUACUGGAAGAAGAAGCACCGGCUAACUACGUGCCAGCAGCCGCGGUAAUACGUAGGGUGCGAGCGUUAAUCGGAAUUACUGGGCGUAAAGCGUGCGCAGGUGGUUUUGUAAGUCAGAUGUGAAAGCCCCGGGCUCAACCUGGGAACU
This 423-nucleotide ribosomal RNA is filed under the name uncultured bacterium. RNAcentral's name for it is "bacterial SSU rRNA". It matches the Rfam family "Bacterial small subunit ribosomal RNA", at positions 207 to 622 of the family's 1533-position model. The record is from RNAcentral.